AAAAAUUUAAGUUAAAAAAACUAUUGACCUUCAAAGUCAAAUUUAGAUUAGAUCUAAUUUUUA
Molecule: transfer RNA, 63 nt
Filed under: Hylastes brunneus
Lineage: Eukaryota; Metazoa; Arthropoda; Insecta; Coleoptera; Curculionidae
Description: tRNA-Trp
Source: RNAcentral